RNAcentral lists this ribosomal RNA (490 nucleotides) under uncultured bacterium. RNAcentral's name for it is "partial 16S ribosomal RNA". It matches the Rfam family "Bacterial small subunit ribosomal RNA", at positions 28 to 505 of the family's 1533-position model. The record is from RNAcentral.
GACGAACGCUGGCGGCGUGCUUAACACAUGCAAGUGGAGCGACGAACCAGGGCUUGCCCUGGGGCAGAGCCGCGAACGGGUGAGUAACACGUGGGUAACGUGCCCCGAUGACUGGGACAACCCGGGGAAACCCGGGCUAAUACCGGAUGUGCCCCCUCACAUCAGUGAGGUGUGUAAAGGAAGCUUCGGCCUCCGCAUCGGGAUCGGCCCGCGGCCCAUUAGCUUGUUGGUGAGGUAACGGCUCACCAAGGCUGCGAUGGGUAGCUGGUCUGAGAGGACGAUCAGCCACACUGGGACUGAGACACGGCCCAGACUCCUACGGGAGGCAGCAGUGGGGAAUCUUGCGCAAUGCGCGAAAGCGUGACGCAGCAACGCCGCGUGGGGGAAGACGGCCUUCGGGUUGUAAACCCCUUUCAGUUGGGACGAAGGUCGGGCGGUUAACAGCCGUUCCGGCUGACGGUACCUUCACAAGAAGCCCCGGCUAACUACG